This 505-nucleotide ribosomal RNA is filed under the name uncultured bacterium. RNAcentral's name for it is "bacterial SSU rRNA". It matches the Rfam family "Bacterial small subunit ribosomal RNA", at positions 390 to 878 of the family's 1533-position model. The record is from RNAcentral.
AGCAACGACCGCGUCGAGUGAAGAAGGUUUUCGGAGUCGUAAAGACUCUAGUUGUAAGUUCAAGAACGAGUGUGAGAGUGGAAAGUUCACACUGUGACGGUAGCUUACCAGAAAGGGACGGCGUAACUACGUGCCCAGCAGCCGCGGUAAUACGUAGGUCCCGAGCGUUGUCCGGAUUUAUUGGGCGUAAAGCGAGCGCAGGCGGUUUGAUAAGUCUGAAGUUAAAGGCUGUGGCUCAACCAUAGUUCGCUUUGGAAACUGUCAAACUUGAGUGCAGAAGGGGAGAGUGGAAUUCCAUGUGUAGCGGUGAAAUGCGUAGAUAUAUGGAGGAACACCGGUGGCGAAAGCGGCUCUCUGGUCUGUAACUGACGCUGAGGCUCGAAAGCGUGGGGAGCGAACAGGAUUAGAUACCCUGGUAGUCCACGCCGUAAACGAUGAGUGCUAAGUGUUGGAGGGUUUCCGCCCUUCAGUGCUGCAGUUAACACAUUAAGCACUCCGCCUGGGG